Molecule: long non-coding RNA, 199 nt
Filed under: Gossypium barbadense (sea-island cotton)
Lineage: Eukaryota; Viridiplantae; Streptophyta; Magnoliopsida; Malvales; Malvaceae
Description: long non-coding RNA (GBAR_LNC013421)
Source: RNAcentral
GGGAAGGGAGAAAGUAAGGUUCAUCCCCUUCCCCAAACCACACGGAUAAGUGGGGAAUGAGAGAAUUUUACUAUUUUCAUUUUUACUAUUUUUUAUUAAAUUUAAGCGAAAACUUAACCCUAAACUUUUAUUUUUCAGUGUCAAAUCAACUUUUAAACUUCCUUCACUAAUUUCACCAUUUUGAACUUAAAAGUGUACG